This 213-nucleotide unclassified non-coding RNA is filed under the name plant metagenome. Its description in RNAcentral is "partial contains small subunit ribosomal RNA and internal transcribed spacer 1". The stretch from base 1 to 46 matches the Rfam family "Eukaryotic small subunit ribosomal RNA", at positions 1786 to 1831 of the family's 1831-position model. The record is from RNAcentral.
AAGUCGUAACAAGGUCUCCGUAGGUGAACCUGCGGAGGGAUCAUUAAUGAGAACUUGCCCUAACGGGUAGAUCUCCCACCCUUUGUUAACCAAACUUGUUGCUUUGUCGGCCCGACCCUCGGGGUCCCCGGCCUUCGGGCUGGUCAGCGCCGGGACAGAGGAAAACUAAAACCCUUUUAUCACUGUUGUCAGAGUACUAUAUAAUAGUUAAAA